GAUGAACGCUGGCGGCGUGCCUAAUACAUGCAAGUCGAGCGAACGGACGAGAAGCUUGCUUCUCUGAUGUUAGCGGCGGACGGGUGAGUAAAACGUGGAUAACCUACCUAUAAGACUGGGAUAACUUCUGGAAACCGGAGCUAAUACCGGAUAAUAUUUUGAACCGCAUGGUUCAAAAGUGAAAGACGGUCUUGCUGUCACUGAUAGAUGGAUCCGCGCUGCAUUAGCUAGUUGGUAAGGUAACGGCUUACCAAGGCAACGAUGCAUAGCCGACCUGAGAGGGUGAUCGGCCACGCUGGCACUGAGACACGGUCCAGACUCCUACGGGAGGCAGCAGUAGGGAAUCUUCCGCAAUGGGCGAAAGCCUGACGGAGCAGCGCCGCGUGAGUGAUGAAGGUCUUCGGAUCGUAAAACUCUGUUAUUAGGGAAGAACAUAUGUGUAAGUAACUGUGCACAUCUUGACGGUACCUAAUCAGAAAGCCACGGCUAACUACGUG
This 497-nucleotide ribosomal RNA is filed under the name uncultured bacterium. RNAcentral's name for it is "partial 16S ribosomal RNA". It matches the Rfam family "Bacterial small subunit ribosomal RNA", at positions 28 to 507 of the family's 1533-position model. The record is from RNAcentral.